GGGCAAUUAGCUCAGCUGGUUCAGAGCGUUCGCCUCACACGCGAGAGGUCACUGGUUCGAGCCCAGUAUUGCCCA
RNAcentral lists this transfer RNA (75 nucleotides) under Flavobacteriales bacterium. RNAcentral's name for it is "tRNA-Val". It matches the Rfam family "tRNA". Rfam says of the family: Transfer RNA (tRNA) molecules are approximately 80 nucleotides in length. Lineage: Bacteria; Pseudomonadati; Bacteroidota; Flavobacteriia; Flavobacteriales. The record is from RNAcentral. RNAcentral also lists the same sequence under 1 other name.